This 253-nucleotide ribosomal RNA is filed under the name uncultured bacterium. RNAcentral's name for it is "partial 16S ribosomal RNA". It matches the Rfam family "Bacterial small subunit ribosomal RNA", at positions 524 to 776 of the family's 1533-position model. The record is from RNAcentral.
UACAGAGGUGGCAAGCGUUGUUCGGAAUUACUGGGCGUAAAGGGCGCGUAGGCGGCCUUCUAAGUCAGACGUGAAAUCCCCGGGCUUAACCUGGGAACUGCAUUUGUGACUGCACAGCUGGAGUGCGGCAGAGGGGGAUGGAAUUCCGCGUGUAGCAGUGAAAUGCGUAGAUAUGCGGAGGAACACCGAUGGCGAAGGCAAUCCCCUGGGCCUGCACUGACGCUCAUGCACGAAAGCGUGGGGAGCAAACAGG